AGCAGUAGCCGCGGGAAAACGUAGGUGGCAAGCGUUGUCCGGAAUUAUUGGGCGUAAAGGGCUCGCAGGCGGUUUUUUAAGUCUGAUGUGAAAGCCCCCGGCUCAACCGGGGAGGGUCAUUGGAAACUGGGAAACUUGAGUGCAGAAGAGGAGAGUGGAAUUCCACGUGUAGCGGUGAAAUGCGUAGAGAUGUGGAGGAACACCAGUGGCGAAGGCGACUCUCUGGUCUGUAACUGACGCUGAGGAGCGAAAGCGUGGGGAGCGAACAGGAUUAGAGACCCCAGUAGUCCCUGUCUCUUAUAC
This 303-nucleotide ribosomal RNA is filed under the name uncultured bacterium. Its description in RNAcentral is "partial 16S ribosomal RNA". It matches the Rfam family "Bacterial small subunit ribosomal RNA", at positions 507 to 807 of the family's 1533-position model. The record is from RNAcentral.